This 253-nucleotide ribosomal RNA is filed under the name uncultured bacterium. RNAcentral's name for it is "partial 16S ribosomal RNA". It matches the Rfam family "Bacterial small subunit ribosomal RNA", at positions 524 to 776 of the family's 1533-position model. The record is from RNAcentral.
UACGUAGGGGGCUAGCGUUGUCCGGAAUCAUUGGGCAUAAAGGGCGCGUAGGCGGCUUUUCAAGUCAGGGGUGAAAUCCGGCAGCUUAACUGUCGAAGUGCCUUUGAUACUGGGAAGCUCGAGGGAGGUAGGGGUGUGUGGAACUUCCGGUGGAGCGGUGAAAUGCGUUGAUAUCGGAAGGAACGCCGGUGGCGAAAGCGACGCACUGGACCUCUUCUGACGCUGAGGCGCGAAAGCCAGGGGAGCAAACGGG